Molecule: long non-coding RNA, 486 nt
Filed under: Setaria viridis
Lineage: Eukaryota; Viridiplantae; Streptophyta; Magnoliopsida; Poales; Poaceae
Description: long non-coding RNA (SVIR_LNC007482)
Source: RNAcentral
CUCGUUUCCAAAGGCGAUUACUUUUGGCUUCAUAAUCUAAUCACAUGCUUUAUUUCUUAGAAUUAAUGUAGAAAUGAUCUUGUGCGUGCAACUGGUGGUGGCAAGCGGCGUAUUCCUUUUCUUUUCUUUUCUUCUUUUGCAGUUUGAGGUUUUGUCGAUCGAGAAGCAGCCUGUUUUGAGAGGCGAUAUAAUGGUCCAUACAUGGUUUUGCUUUGUCCCCCACUUAUCUCUCCAGCACAAGAAUAUUGUUGCGCCGGCCAGGACGUACGCCAUGUGAGAUCUUGGGCGAUCCCGCCUCGCGAUUGGCCGGCGGGUCAGUGCCUGCAACGAACCAAGCAACAAAAGCAAAUACAGGUCAGCUGCUAGUCUGUUGCAGUCUUCUCAAUCUUGGUGUCACAGUCUGUCUUGUGCUAAGCAAACAGGCGAUCAUUUUCGGCUGCUCGUCGGCAUUGCCGUCUUGUCUGAAGAUCCGGAUAUCCUGCAGGU